RNAcentral lists this long non-coding RNA (176 nucleotides) under Rhinopithecus bieti (black snub-nosed monkey). RNAcentral's name for it is "lncRNA (ENSRBIG00000045967.1)". Lineage: Eukaryota; Metazoa; Chordata; Mammalia; Primates; Cercopithecidae. The record is from RNAcentral.
CACCCAGUAGGUAGCAGAGCCGGGAUCUGAACCCUUCCUUGUCUAACUUCAAAUUCCACCAGGCCCCGACAUUCUCCAGCUUCCAUGGUGUUCCUGCAAUCCAAGUGCUGCUGACCUCUCUACAGGGCUGGAAGAAAGCUGUGCUUCUGACUCCAGGAAGUGCUACAGUGUUGCUG